Long non-coding RNA from Phyllostomus discolor (pale spear-nosed bat), 93 nucleotides. RefSeq lists it as uncharacterized. The record is from RefSeq and is a predicted model, not a curated record. The transcript is spliced from 3 exons. NCBI's taxonomy places the organism in Eukaryota, Metazoa, Chordata, Mammalia, Chiroptera, Phyllostomidae.
UGUCCCAAUUUUACACAGCUGUGGGUUCAUUCCCCAGUAAGAGCACAUACAAGGAUCUACCAAUGAAUGCGUAAGUAAAUGGAAUAACAAAUU